Molecule: ribosomal RNA, 257 nt
Filed under: uncultured soil bacterium
Lineage: Bacteria
Description: partial 16S ribosomal RNA
Rfam family: Bacterial small subunit ribosomal RNA
Source: RNAcentral
AGAACGAACGCUGGCGGCAUGCCUAAUACAUGCAAGUCGAACGAACUCUUCGGAGUUAGUGGCGCACGGGUGCGUAACGCGUGGGAAUCUGCCCCUUGGUUCGGAAUAACAGUUGGAAACGACUGCUAAUACCGGAUGAUGACGAAAGUCCAAAGAUUUAUCGCCAAGGGAUGAGCCCGCGUAGGAUUAGCUAGUUGGUGAGGUAAAGCUCACCAAGGCAACGAUCCUUAGCUGGUCUGAGAGGAUGAUCAGCCACA